AACACUCGAGCCGUCAUCCCAGCACUAGGGGACAGUGACCAGUGUGGCUCCCGUGGCCAGAACCCUUCUGAAGUUUGGGUUGCCCUGUGGUCUUCGCCUUCAAAGCAGGCCGCCACUUGAAUCCUUCUGGAACGGACAGUGUUGCUGUAAACGCCGCGGAAUAGUAUCUUCUAAGUAUUCGUAGCUUCUUUCUUGAGGGAUCUCGGGAACGUUCCGUGUAUUAACCACUAACGUAUUCCAAAGUUAACUUCGUGGUAAAGUCGCUGGGGAAAAAAAUAACUGCUCCAGUUCCACAGGUGAUUGAAACAAAAGUGAUCUGUUUCCCAAACUUCCUUGAUGGUAAAGAAUGACUUGGGGUACUAAUUAAAAAUAAAAAUAAUUGCGUCAUUUCCA
Molecule: long non-coding RNA, 393 nt
Filed under: Homo sapiens (human)
Lineage: Eukaryota; Metazoa; Chordata; Mammalia; Primates; Hominidae
Description: HSALNT0392503
Source: RNAcentral